RNAcentral lists this transfer RNA (74 nucleotides) under Deltaproteobacteria bacterium. RNAcentral describes it as "tRNA-Arg". It matches the Rfam family "tRNA". Rfam says of the family: Transfer RNA (tRNA) molecules are approximately 80 nucleotides in length. Lineage: Bacteria; Pseudomonadati; Myxococcota; Myxococcia. The record is from RNAcentral.
GCGCCCGUAGCUCAACUGGAUAGAGCGUUGGGCUUCGAACCCAAAGGCUCCGCGUUCGAGUCGCGGCGGGCGCG